This 253-nucleotide ribosomal RNA is filed under the name uncultured bacterium. RNAcentral's name for it is "partial 16S ribosomal RNA". It matches the Rfam family "Bacterial small subunit ribosomal RNA", at positions 524 to 776 of the family's 1533-position model. The record is from RNAcentral.
UACGUAGGGGGCAAGCGUUGUCCGGAAUUAUUGGGCGUAAAGAGCGUGUAGGCGGCCAGAUAAGUCCGCUGUGAAAUCUCGAGGCUCAACUUCGAGCUGUCGGUGGAAACUAUCUGGCUAGAGUCCGGAAGAGGAGAAUGGAAUUCCUGGUGUAGCGGUGAAAUGCGUAGAUAUCAGGAGGAACACCGGUGGCGAAGGCGGCUCUCUGGACGGUGACUGACGCUGAGACGCGAAAGCGUGGGGAGCAAACAGG